UCGAUCAUGUAUCAAAAGGGAGUUCAUUAAAACCCGUUGAGAGCCCGUAGUUUCGCAUUCAAUGUAUCUCGUUGGACGAGAGCAUUUGGCCAUAAGCCUCAACCUGAUCCUGAGCCUGAGCCUCCCACCAGUCUCACAAUGGAGUUGACAUUCAGUCAGUUGACCCAUUAGUUGGCAGAGUGGCCGAGAGGGAGAGAGAGAGAGUGGGAGAGAGAUUUAUCCUCGACGCAAGAAAAACAAGAUGAGAAAACACUGACGCCCCCAGCCCCCCAACACCAGCCAGCCGCGCCGCGCUACGCCACGCCACGCCACGCCACACUGUCACUUUAAUGGGGAUAUAUGCACAGACGAGCACAAACGAUAUACUUAAUGCUCGCAGCUGGCGCUGGUGCUGGUGCUGGCCUGAUUGUAUAAUUGCUCCACCGAUUCCCAGUAAUGAUGACAUCACAAGAGCAGCGAGCGGCACACAGCGGUAGGCGAAUGAAACAGGCUCGAAAAGGAAGCCAAACGAAACAACAACCAGACCCAAAAGCCAACAACAGCAACAGCAACACAUUACAACAAUGACAAACACUUCAUCACACCUCACACCUCGCUCAUUCACCCCUCUCGCUGGCUCGGCGAACGAGACAACGGGCCGCAUACGAAUAUAAUCCAGCAAGAAAUAAACAUUUUGUCAAUUGCAAAAAAACAAAAACAAAAACCAACAAAAAAUAAACUGCGGCUUAGCGAGGUUCGAUUGGAGACUGGAGCUGAUCGAUUGAUGCAUGUGAAAUCGUA
Molecule: long non-coding RNA, 780 nt
Organism: Drosophila obscura
Lineage: Eukaryota; Metazoa; Arthropoda; Insecta; Diptera; Drosophilidae
Exons: 2
Source: RefSeq, a predicted model, not a curated record